Molecule: long non-coding RNA, 417 nt
Filed under: Bos taurus (domestic cattle)
Lineage: Eukaryota; Metazoa; Chordata; Mammalia; Artiodactyla; Bovidae
Description: long non-coding RNA NONBTAT025353
Source: RNAcentral
UCUCUCUAAUUCGAGAUUUUCAAUACCAAAAGGAAUUGUGAAUUUUUAUUUUACCAAAGUGAAAAAAAAACAAAAACCAAAGAGAAAAAAUUCUUUAACUAAAGGAUUAAUUUAGGGAAGAAAAAUGAUUGUUGGUCUGAGCUUUCCAUUGAUCCUAAUAUCUCUACUCUGACACUAAUCAAGGAUUUUCCAAAUUGGGGGAUGAGGAGGUGAUAAGACAACAAACAAACAAACAAAUGUCCUCUGCCAUUGGACCAGAGGUCAUUUGUUGCUUCCCAGUUCACUAUGGCCACUCUUGUUGACAUUCUCUGCUUUCAACCUGAACCUGAACUGUCUACUUAGGAGAUGGGCUAAGUCUGAUUGAGGGCCUGAAUAGACCUUCCAGGCCCACUGACUAUUCCAUGUUCAUCUGUGUCU